This 253-nucleotide ribosomal RNA is filed under the name uncultured bacterium. Its description in RNAcentral is "partial 16S ribosomal RNA". It matches the Rfam family "Bacterial small subunit ribosomal RNA", at positions 524 to 776 of the family's 1533-position model. The record is from RNAcentral.
UACAGAGGUCUCAAGCGUUGUUCGGAUUCAUUGGGCGUAAAGGGUGUGUAGGUGGCGCCGUAAGUCGGGUGUGAAAUCUCGGGGCUUAACUCCGAAACUGCAUUCGAUACUGCCGUGCUUGAGGACUGGAGAGGAGACUGGAAUUUACGGUGUAGCAGUGAAAUGCGUAGAUAUCGUAAGGAAGACCAGUGGCGAAGGCGAGUCUCUGGACAGUUACUGACGCUGAGGCACGAAGGCCAGGGGAGCAAACGGG